GUAUAGAACCUACCUUAUAUUGGGGGAUAGCCCAGAGAAAUUUGGAUUAAUACCCCAUAGUAUGCUGAAGUGGCAUCCUUUAGUAUUAAAGAUUUAUCGAUAUAAGAUGGCUAUGCGUUCUAUUAGCUAGUUGGUAUGGUAACGGCAUACCAAGGCUACGAUAGAUAGGGGUCCUGAGAGGGAGAUCCCCCACACUGGUACUGAGACACGGACCAGACUCCUACGGGAGGCAGCAGUGAGGAAUAUUGGACAAUGGAGGCAACUCUGAUCCAGCCAUGCCGCGUGCAGGAAGACUGCCCUAUGGGUUGUAAACUGCUUUUAUAGAGGAAGAAACCCCCCGACGAGUCGGGUCUGACGGUACUCUACGAAUAAGGAUCGGCUAACUCCGUGCCAGCAGCCGCGGUAAUACGGAGGAUCCAAGCGUUAUUCGGAAUCAUUGGGUUUAAAGGGUCCGUAGCGGAUUUGUAAGUCAGUGGUGAAAGUUUGCGGCUCAACCGUAAAAUUGCCAUUGAUACUGCAAGUCUUGAAUCAUUGUGAAGUGGUUAGAAUAUGUAGUGUAGCGGUGAAAUGCAUAGAUAUUACAUAGAAUACCGAUUGCGAAGCAGAUCACUAACAAUGUAUUGACGCUAAGGGACGAAAGCGUGGGUAGCGAACAGGAUUAGAUACCCUGGUAGUCCACGCCGUAAACGAUGGUCACUAGCUGUUUGGG
This 709-nucleotide ribosomal RNA is filed under the name uncultured bacterium. RNAcentral's name for it is "bacterial SSU rRNA". It matches the Rfam family "Bacterial small subunit ribosomal RNA", at positions 117 to 828 of the family's 1533-position model. The record is from RNAcentral.